AUGGUAACUAUGUAAAAGGUGGCUAUGCUACCGCUUUUGGAUGGGCCCGCGGCGCAUUAGCUAGUUGGUGGGGUAAAGGCUUACCAAGGCAAUGAUGCGUAGCCGAACUGAGAGGUUGAUCGGCCACAUUGGGACUGAGACACGGCCCAAACUCCUACGGGAGGCAGCAGUAGGGAAUCUUCCACAAUGGGCGAAAGCCUGAUGGAGCAACGCCGCGUGGGUGAAGAAGGUCUUCGGAUCGUAAAACCCUGUUGUUAGAGAAGAAAGUGCGUGAGAGUAACUGUUCACGUUUCGACGGUAUCUAACCAGAAAGCCACGGCUAACUACGUGCCAGCAGCCGCGGUAAUACGUAGGUGGCAAGCGUUAUCCGGAUU
RNAcentral lists this ribosomal RNA (374 nucleotides) under uncultured bacterium. RNAcentral's name for it is "bacterial SSU rRNA". It matches the Rfam family "Bacterial small subunit ribosomal RNA", at positions 189 to 551 of the family's 1533-position model. The record is from RNAcentral.